Molecule: ribosomal RNA, 519 nt
Filed under: uncultured Pseudomonadota bacterium
Lineage: Bacteria; Pseudomonadati; Pseudomonadota
Description: bacterial SSU rRNA
Rfam family: Bacterial small subunit ribosomal RNA
Source: RNAcentral
UGGGGAAUUUUGGACAAUGGGGGAAACCCUGAUCCAGCCAUGCCGCGUGAGUGAAGAAGGCCUUCGGGUUGUAAAGCUCUUUCAGCCGGAACGAAACGGUCACGGCUAAUACCUAUGAUCACUGACGGUACCGGAAGAAGAAGCACCGGCUAACUACGUGCCAGCAGCCGCGGUAAUACGUAGGGUGCGAGCGUUAAUCGGAAUUACUGGGCGUAAAGCGUGCGCAGGCGGUUUUGUAAGUCAGAUGUGAAAUCCCCGGGCUUAACCUGGGAACUGCGUUUGAAACUACAAGGCUAGAGUGUGGCAGAGGGGGGUGGAAUUCCACGUGUAGCAGUGAAAUGCGUAGAGAUGUGGAGGAACACCGAUGGCGAAGGCAGCCCCCUGGGUUAACACUGACGCUCAGGCACGAAAGCGUGGGGAGCAAACAGGAUUAGAUACCCUGGUAGUCCACGCCCUAAAACUAUGUCAACUAGUUGUCGGGCCUUAACGGGCUUGGUAACGCAGCUAACGCGUGAAGUU